This is a small nuclear RNA of Mastomys coucha (southern multimammate mouse), 191 nucleotides long. RefSeq annotates it as U2 spliceosomal RNA. The record is from RefSeq and is a predicted model, not a curated record. The transcript has a single exon. Lineage: Eukaryota; Metazoa; Chordata; Mammalia; Rodentia; Muridae.
ACUCCUUCUUGGCCUCUUAGCUAGAAUUAAGUGUAGUAUCUGCUCUAGUUAUCUAAAUAUAUGAUAUGUCUACUAUUCAGAACAACACUUUAAAUAGGUUGUUGGAGCUGAGAGUAGGAACGGUGGACUAAGGGGCUUGUUCCAUCACUCCAUGAAUGAAGUGCAGUGUUUCUACAAAUAGUACAUCUUUC